CAACAGAUGAUUUCCUUGUGGACUACUUUAAUGAAUUCCUUAGCCUUCCACUUUAUGAAGGAUUUAUAUGUUGGAUGGAUUGUUGGAACAUAGAUGGCCGGCCCCUCCACUUACGUGAAUACGCAGCAAAGUCUAUAGGAAAUAGUGGACAGAGAUGGGCGCGUUGAAGUUGGUGUUGACCAGGAUUCCGUCUCUCCCCAGUUGCAAACUCUUCACUGGCUCCCCGUCCUCCUAAAGCAGUGAUUUUCGAACUUGAACAUGCAUCAGAGUCACCUGAGCAUUUGUUAACACAGAGUGCCGGGAUUAUAGGGAGGGGCCUGGGAAUUGCAUUUCUUGUAGGGCCCAAGGUGAUGCCAGUGUUGCAGGUCCAGGCACCCCAGUCUGAGAACCAGGGAUUGGAGAGAAUUCAGUUGAGAGUUAGGCAUGUAAUAGAAAGUCCUUGAUGAGCUCGUCCUCUGCAUUUUUCUCUAGGCUUGUAUCUUAUUCCCCCCUCGAAUAAUAAGCUUCAGCAAUGUCAAACUGCUGCAGUUCAUCAAUAUACAUGUGUUAUUACUCAAAAUGAAUUAUCUGUGCUCUGCAUAGAGAGUGAGGGUGAUUUAAAGAGUGAGGAUGAUUUUAUCUGUUGUACUAAUCCAUAAACACACAUAUACCAGUCCGUGAGCAUCCUGAUGCGGGUGUGAGAUGGAAGAUGAGAACCUGCUGUUCC
Neogale vison (American mink) is the source of this 706-nucleotide long non-coding RNA. RefSeq lists it as uncharacterized. Lineage: Eukaryota; Metazoa; Chordata; Mammalia; Carnivora; Mustelidae. The record is from RefSeq and is a predicted model, not a curated record. The transcript has 3 exons.